RNAcentral lists this non-coding RNA (148 nucleotides) under Homo sapiens (human). Lineage: Eukaryota; Metazoa; Chordata; Mammalia; Primates; Hominidae. The record is from Rfam by way of RNAcentral.
GCUGGGCGUGGUGGCGGGCACCUGUAAUCCCAGCUACUUGGGAGGCUGAGGCAGGAGAAUUGCUUGAACCUGGGAGGCGGAGUUUGCAGUGAGCCGAGGUCGCACCACUGCACUCUAGCCUGGGUGACAGAGCAAGACUCUGCCUCAA